RNAcentral lists this ribosomal RNA (253 nucleotides) under uncultured bacterium. RNAcentral's name for it is "partial 16S ribosomal RNA". It matches the Rfam family "Bacterial small subunit ribosomal RNA", at positions 524 to 776 of the family's 1533-position model. The record is from RNAcentral.
UACAGAGGGUGCAAGCGUUAAUCGGAAUUACUGGGCGUAAAGCGUGUGUAGGUGGUUUGCUAAGUCAGAUGUGAAAUCCCUGGGCUCAACCUAGGAAUUGCAUUUGAUACUGGUAAUCUUGAGUGCGGUAGAGGAUGGUGGAAUUCCCGGUGUAGCGGUGAAAUGCGUAGAUAUCGGGAGGAACAUCAGUGGCGAAGGCGGCCAUCUGGACUGACACUGACACUGAGACACGAAAGCGUGGGGAGCAAACAGG